This 504-nucleotide ribosomal RNA is filed under the name Juga nigrina. Its description in RNAcentral is "partial large subunit ribosomal RNA". It matches the Rfam family "Bacterial large subunit ribosomal RNA", at positions 1816 to 2597 of the family's 2925-position model. Lineage: Eukaryota; Metazoa; Mollusca; Gastropoda; Semisulcospiridae. The record is from RNAcentral.
GGCUCUCUGCUUAUAUAAAUAUAGGGAGUCGAGCCUGCCCAGUGAAUUUUUAAACGGCCGCGGUACUCUGACCGUGCAAAGGUAGCAUAAUCAUUUGCCUUAUAAUUGAAGGCUAGUAUGAAUGGUUUGACGAGAACAAUACUGUCUCCUUUUUAUUUUCAAGAACUUAACUUUUAGGUGAAGAGGCCUAAAUUUUAUUGAAGGACAAGAAGACCCUAUCGAGCUUAAAAGACAUUAUAGAAGUUUAUAUAUUUUUAAAUAAAUUUUCUAUUAAGCUUUUUAGUUGGGGCGACUAAGGAACAAAAAAAGCUUCUUGCUGAUAAUAAGCAGUCAUGUUUAGAUCCGAUAAUAAUCGAUCAAAGAAAUUAGUUACCGUAGGGAUAACAGCAUAAUCUCUCUUGAGAGACCUAAUCGAAAGAGGGGGUUGUGACCUCGAUGUUGGACUAGAAUAUCCUAAAGAUGCAGAAGUCUUUGAGGGUCGGUCUGUUCGACCGUUAAAAUUCU